UGCUUUAAAAAAACAAAUUUUCUGAACAAGUCCCAUUCAAUCUGAUCUCGGAAGCUAAGCAGGGUUGGGCCUGGUUAGUACUUGGAUGGGAGACCACCUAAGAAGACCAGGUGCUGUAGGCAU
This 123-nucleotide ribosomal RNA is filed under the name Pteropus vampyrus (large flying fox). Lineage: Eukaryota; Metazoa; Chordata; Mammalia; Chiroptera; Pteropodidae. The record is from RNAcentral.